RNAcentral lists this ribosomal RNA (507 nucleotides) under uncultured bacterium. RNAcentral describes it as "partial 16S ribosomal RNA". It matches the Rfam family "Bacterial small subunit ribosomal RNA", at positions 28 to 507 of the family's 1533-position model. The record is from RNAcentral.
GACGAACGCUGGCGGCGUGCCUAAUACAUGCAAGUCGAACGCAUUUUCUUUCACCGUAGCUUGCUACACCGAAAGAAAAUGAGUGGCGAACGGGUGAGUAACACGUGGGUAACCUGCCCAUCAGCGGGGGAUAACACUUGGAAACAGGUGCUAAUACCGCAUAAUUCCAUUUACCGCAUGGUAGAUGGAUGAAAGGCGCUUUUGCGUCACUGAUGGAUGGACCCGCGGUGCAUUAGCUAGUUGGUGGGGUAACGGCCUACCAAGGCUGCGAUGCAUAGCCGACCUGAGAGGGUGAUCGGCCACACUGGGACUGAGACACGGCCCAGACUCCUACGGGAGGCAGCAGUAGGGAAUCUUCGGCAAUGGACGCAAGUCUGACCGAGCAACGCCGCGUGAGGGAAGAAGGGUUUCGGAUCGGAAAACUCUGUUGUUAGGGAAGAACAAGGAUGAGAGUGGAAAGUUCAUCCCUUGACGGUAUCUAACCAGAAAGCCACGGCUAACUACGUG